This is a long non-coding RNA of Penaeus chinensis, 1176 nucleotides long. RefSeq lists it as uncharacterized. NCBI's taxonomy places the organism in Eukaryota, Metazoa, Arthropoda, Malacostraca, Decapoda, Penaeidae. The record is from RefSeq and is a predicted model, not a curated record. The transcript is spliced from 3 exons.
UGCAUCUUUUGUGGUGGACAUCAUACUGGCAGAACCCAUUUUAUAUAGUGGCUAAAAGAAGCAAUAUAUUUUUUUUUCAGAAAGCGCAUAUAACGCCUCCACGAGGACCCUGGUGGCUGGCGAUUUUUUCUUAGGGAAUCCGGUUCCUCGAGUAUGCGGGAAAGAUUAAAUAUCCCGCCUAGAGCUCGUCCACUAGGAAAUAAAAAUGACAUUCAAGGCGAGAACACGGUUACUACGAAGGGAAAACCAGGAGCGGAAACGCGGAGGCAAGCUCCCUAGAGUUCAGCAAGGAAGAUCCUCGCGUCGACGAUCCGUGGGACAUCUGAACACACAAGGAAGGAAACCUCGUGAGAUCCAUUACUAACGGAACCGGGAAAGCCUCACACCUCCUAACAGAGAAGCUUGCAGCACCUCUCUCAACCGCACUAAUCUGCAUCUGCGGGUGCCAUCUCUCAAACACCACUGAUGCGACGGCCAGACUGCAAAACGUCGGGAUGCGGUGUAAAGACCUUGUCAGCUUCGACGUCAAAUUGCUCCUUGCCAAUGUACCGAUCGACGGGGUUAUCGAAGCUGCAACAUUGGCGCUAGCAGGAAUGGACGAAGUUGAACUACCACUCGUCCGCUGCUUCGUGGAGUUCGGCCUGUUCGAAUUCCGGGGACGUGAAGACCCUUAUCGAAGCUGCAACAUUGGCGCUAGCAGGAAUGGACGAAGUUGAACUACCACUCGUCCGCUGCCUGUUCGAAUUCCGGGGACGUGAAUACGGGCCGGCUCUCAGCAUAUAAACUAUUUUCAGCAUAUGGUGUCAACCAAUAGAACUCGAAUACAAAGGGGACACAAACAAAAAAACUACAACAACCAGUGUAAAUAAACAUUUCCCAUAUAAACAAACCCUGAUGUUCAUAGCUCAGCAAAAAUAUCAAUAUGACAGGCAUGCUUAUAAAUUUAUACAGGGAAAUUCUCCUCAUUGGUCACAGGAAUAAUAAAGAAUUAAAGGAGCAUUAUCUAAGUUGUCAAUGACAUCAGGCAUUCAAACACCGAGUCUAAUAAUAUACCUCAGUUUCUUAUGAUAAGAAAUAUAUAUAUAUUCUACCCACGGUAUCUGAUGUGUUGGUUUCCGAUACUGUUCCUUACAAUGCUAUUCUUUAUGUCGAUUUAUGAAGAUUACAACUAAUGAA